GUGCUUGCUUUGGCAGUACAUAUAUUAAAAUUGGAACAAUACAGAGAAGAGUAGUAUGGCC
This 61-nucleotide small nuclear RNA is filed under the name Pongo abelii (Sumatran orangutan). The record is from RNAcentral. Lineage: Eukaryota; Metazoa; Chordata; Mammalia; Primates; Hominidae.